Molecule: non-coding RNA, 613 nt
Organism: Dermacentor albipictus
Lineage: Eukaryota; Metazoa; Arthropoda; Arachnida; Ixodida; Ixodidae
Source: RefSeq, a predicted model, not a curated record
UCGUACUCGUGUAGUGAUGGUCUAGAAUGCCGGCUUAAUCGAUUCCGAAGUUCAGUCUCAGGAAACAGACCAAUUGCAGCAUCAAGAACAUGAAUAGUUCCACUGUGGCCGUUCUCGCUCUCAUCCUUCUGGACAUGGUGAUUGCAUAUGGACGCGGACUAGGUGUAUUAUCACGGCGAAGGGCAACGGCGGAUGGCGCAGUCAGGUCGUCCCGUCACGGUAAAUCCAUAAACAACCAUGCAAUGGGAAGGAGGUGCUGAAGGCCGCUGCAAGCAGCAACUGCGGCGAGUCCAGUUGCAAAGACAUUGGACGCCGUAAGCGCUGCAAGAGGGAUUCUAGGUCGGGUUGCUUCUGCAAAAACAACUAUUACCGAAGAGGAUCAGCAACCUCACCGUGUGUCACCAGGGAGAAGUGCAACAGUUGGAAGACAACGUUAUGACGGCGUUUGCACGGACACAUAACAAAUAAUAAAGCGCGCAUCUUUUAAAUUUCAGACUUUCCAUAAGGAAAGUUCUAUUAUGAGAAAACAUUUUUCUUCUGACACUGCUUUGUAUCAUCGCAAGUGGUGGUUAUGCCUUGCCAAGGCCAUCAUUAAAUUUCUUUCCAAAGUUUA